AUGACGGCGGCCAGAACCCCGGCGGGACGGGGUGGGGCGGGCCCGCGCGUCCCAGUGGGUCUCCGGCGGAGCAAGAGGGGCCAGCAUAGCAGAAGGCGGCUGGCUCUCCGGGACGGUCACAUUCCGCUGCAGGGGCGGGCGGAGGCCGCCGCACUGCCUCCCGCACCGUUGACCCAGGCCAGCGUGGGGCAACGCCCCCUGCUCAGGGACAGAUUCCCCCCGCCGCCCGAGCUCUGGGCGCUCCGCAGACCGCGCCUGCUCCGCCCGCAGCUCGGCCCCGCGCUGCCUGCCUCGCCGGGCCCGCGUCAGGAUGGGGUAGGGACAGCGCCACCGAGUCGGGGAAUGGGCCGCCCUCUGGGCACCGAGCAGCCCCCGGAGGAGCCCCGGCUGGAUGUCAAGCGGAUGCCCCAGUGCCCCGCCAGCAGACUCGGUGGGGACAUGGCUUCGCUAAUGCCCCUUUCCCCAUAUCUAAGCCCCACGGUCCUCCUGUUGGUCAACUGUGACCUGGGUUCGUGCCAGUAGACCGGCCUCCCUCUCCUGUGAAUGUGACGGUCACUCACCUCAGAGCCAACUCGGCCACUGUGUCCUGGGACGUCCCAGAGGGCAACAUCGUCAUUGGCUACUCCAUUUCCCAGCAA
RNAcentral lists this long non-coding RNA (638 nucleotides) under Callithrix jacchus (white-tufted-ear marmoset). RNAcentral's name for it is "lncRNA (ENSCJAG00000086195.1)". Lineage: Eukaryota; Metazoa; Chordata; Mammalia; Primates; Cebidae. The record is from RNAcentral.